CGCGGCCUAUCAGCUUGUUGGUGAGGUAACGGCUCACCAAGGCAUCGACGGGUAGCUGGUCUGAGAGGAUGAUCAGCCACACUGGGACUGAGACACGGCCCAGACUCCUACGGGAGGCAGCAGUGGGGAAUAUUGCACAAUGGGCGCAAGCCUGAUGCAGCGAUGCCGCGUGCGGGAUGAAGGCCCUAGGGUUGUAAACCGCUUUCAGCAGGGAAGAAAAUGACGGUACCUGCAGAAGAAGGUGCGGCCAACUACGUGCCAGCAGCCGCGGUGACACGUAGGCACCAAGCGUUGUCCGGAUUUAUUGGGCGUAAAGAGCUCGUAGGCGGUUCAGUUAGUCGGGUGUGAAAACUCUGGGCUCAACCCAGAGACGCCACCCGAUACUGCUGUGACUAGCGUACGGUAGGGGAGUGGGGAAUUCCUGGUGUAGCGGUGAAAUGCGCAGAUAUCAGGAGGAACACCAGUGGCGAAGGCGCCACUCUGGGCCGUAACUGACGCUGAGGAGCGAAAGCAUGGGUAGCAAACAGGAUUAGAUACCCUGGUAGUCCAUGCCGUAAACGUUGGGCACUAGGUGUGGGUCUCAACCAACGAGAUCCGCGCCGUCGCUAACGCAUUAAGUGCCCCGCCUGGGGAGUACGG
Molecule: ribosomal RNA, 639 nt
Filed under: uncultured Actinomycetes bacterium
Lineage: Bacteria; Bacillati; Actinomycetota; Actinomycetes
Description: bacterial SSU rRNA
Rfam family: Bacterial small subunit ribosomal RNA
Source: RNAcentral